UGCAGAAUUCCAGGUCUUGGCAUCUGUGUUUCAAGCAGGAGGGAGAAGGAAAAGGGUUAGGGUUGGUGGGUAGGCUCAGUGCGUAGGUAGGAUGCUUGCCUCAGACACACAAGGCCCCCAACACAACCCAAGCUGGCAGUGGUGAGAUAUAAAUGCCACUUGGUGUCAUGGUUAGUUUUUGUCAACUUGACACAAACCUAGACACACCAGGGAAGAAGAACUCUCAACUGAGGAAGAACCUUCAUUGGAUUGGCCAUUGGUAUCCCUACUCUAUUCUGCCAGGUAGUGGAAAUGUAAUCUCAGUCAUCAAAACAAUACAAAGCCAACCGACCGACCGACCACCAACCAACCAAUCAACCAACCAACCAAUCAACCAAUUGAAAAACAGCAGUGCUAUGUAAAGUGCAUGUAGGUGCCUUUGAAGGCCAGAAGAAGACGUCGGAUUCUGAGGAGCUGGAGUUACAGAUGGAUGUUAGCUGCCUCACAGAGAUGCUGGGAACCGAACUCAGGUGCUUUGUAACUUGACAACAGAAGCCACAGUGAGACACAGACAACAGAAGCCACAGUGAGACACAGACAACAGAAGCCACAGUGAGACAUCAGCUGCACUGGACACAACUGGAGUCUGCUUCUCCCAGAGGAGGGGAUUUUCUAAGAUGCCAGAUCCCCUUACCUCCUGUGGAAUGCACAAUCAGUGUUAACAAUGGCAAUUAGACUCUGUGCCAUCUGGAUGGCCUGGGCAAGCGGAGCUGCACAGUGGCUGGCAGAAGGCAGAAGUUGAGCCAGGAUCAUAGAGGCAGCUUCUUUCUGUGGAGCUGGACCAUGACCAUUACAACCAGGAACAACUGCUGCUCAGUUCAUUGACUCAAGAACCACCCGAGUGUCAUGAUGGGAGUCCUUAAGAAAAGAGUCUUCUCUCUUAAUGGGUCCAACUUCAUAGGUCCUGAUGGUCACAGGCCUGGCUCUCCAUUCAGAACAGCUCCUGCCUACAGGUUCCUGCCCUGCUUGAGUUCCUGUCCUGACUUCCUUCAGUGAUGAACAAUGCUGUAGAAGUGAGAGUUUGGGAAGAGACAAACCCAUCAGUGGUAACUUGGUGGCUUGGUGACUUAGCCACUUGGUGUUAAGCUGUUGUUCCCCUUCAUUCACUUGGCUAUUUCCCCCUGCUCCACACUGGGUGUCCUUAGGAUGGCAGAGGCCAUCAGAUUGCUUUCCCAAAGUCCUCCAGUACUCCUGCUUUGCCAGGGACUGUCCUGGCUAGCACAUGCCAUCCUGGAAUAAAAACGAUACUUUUUGUUUCUAGGCAUGCUCAAGUCUGGGUGACAAGUUAAAAAACGUAGUGUAUCCAAGCCACGUGAGCAGUGCCUGCUUCCCAGAGGACCUGUUUCUGCUGGCUUUAGGUGGGGGCAGGUCAGCCCUCCUCUCCCAUAGGACUUGCUUUCUCUGCAAGAGACAUUUCUCUGAAGCCUGCAAACCCUAGUGCAGCUCUCCCUCAGCUAUGGGAUUUGGGGGCGAGUUAUUUUAUUGGCUUGAAUCUCAGUUCCUGCAAGGGUUAAGGGGGGAAAUGAACACAGUAUUUGGCUCUUGGGCCGUGCAUUUUAGCCAAUCAUAUUUUUCCUUCAGAGCAGGAAUCUAAACCUGAGAGUCUUGGGGCAGGGGCCCAGGACAUUCCCAAUUCUGAAGCAAUGUGUUCUUUGUGGUUGAAGGGGCUAUCACCCACCGUGGGAUGUUGCCUUAUGCGAACCCUGAUUCAUUCACUGACGGCUUGUUCCUUGCUCACAGGCCUUUUGUUCUCAUCUGUCCUCAGGCUGGGCCUGGACAGACACACCAGGCUGCCCUAGGUCUGUGCGGGAGCCAUAGAGGACUGUUCAUGUACACAAACAUGCUCUCUUUCUCCAGGUUAGCUUCCUGCCAGGCCCCAACAACAUGAGCAGGAGUUAACCCUUGGAAUCCAAUCAGAUCUACAAGUUUCUGGGAGUCUUCUUUCAUAAAAGUGGGAUGGGGCUUAAGAUGCUGUACUUCUUAACAAGAACCCAAGUGACACUGCUGCUGCUGGCUCAGGCUUUCUGAAGCUUUGGGGUCUUGGGGAAAAAGUGUGUUUCCUGGAGGCUGAGUCAGGAUUUUUCUCAGAGCAGACUGAAGAUUCCCUGUGAGCAGCAAGCCCUUGGUGUGGGUUUUCUCCACCCACGGCUCUGUGGUACUCAGAAGUGAGUGGACGCUCGAUAAACAUUCAUCUCUUUCUAGAGUUGAAACCUAACUGAGAGCUAUAGAUUUCUCCUUUAGUGUAGAGCCUGCCAUUGGUCCGUCAUACACAGGGUAGCUGUCACCUCACUAGGUGAAAUGAAGAUUAGGUCAGAUGGCAAUCGUGUGUGGGUUGUGUGUUUGAGACAGACUCUUGCACUGGAUUCGGGCCUAGAACUCACCAAGUAGGGUGAGAUGGACUGGCUGAUUAACCUGAGACGUAUACCAACUUUCAUUUCAUUUCUUUACUGUUGGGAUUACAAGUGCAUGCCAUCACGCAUGCCGUGUGUGUGUGUGUGUGUGUGUGUGUGUGUGUGUUCACUGGGGAUCAAAGUCAAGUCAUCAUGCUUGCCGUUUUGAUUGAGUUAUCUCCCCAAUCCUGAUUAUAUUUUAGACAUCUUCCCCACAACCCUUUUUGAACCAGCUAGUGCCCUACUGCCAUUUCCUCUUAAAUACAGUGGCUCUCAAAGUUCUGGGAAUUUGUCAGAAUGGCAAGCAUCACAGCCCUACUCUAGACAUCCUGAGUCAGAACUGGAAGUGAGGCCAACCAUCAUUGGUAGCAAGCACUUCAGGCAAUGCCCAUGCAUACAGCAGCCCAAGCAAGACCUGCCAUCCGAGACGCCCAAUACUGACCUGAGGCCAAUGUGCAGCUCAGAAAGCCUUGGUACCCAGAAGUCUUUGAGGGGUCUGCUCAUUGUUACGGUGGAUGACUUUACACCUAGGAGCCUGGGCAGUGAUUCCAAGGAGGUUUGAAGGAUAGCAACUUCAGGUAAGGAAAAGCAGAGGCAAGGGAUCUACCCCCUGGGGAUAAUUGUUUGGCUUUAUGCAAAUGUUCUGAGCCAUAAAACCAGCCAGUAAGGUACAGGAGAUAUAUGCUUCCCAUGCUGAGUGGUCUAAAUAGAAUAUUAUCAGUGCUCGGCUUCCAAGCUUCUAUCACACAAAGCCUUAUCGGCAUGAAAUACGCCACACCUGCUAAAUGAAACGCACAUGGGGACAUUAUGGGAGUUUUCAACAGCAUUUUAUUUUGCAUAAUAUAGGGUUUUUUUUUCCAGAGUAGGAAUGGUAUAUUAAAAAGUCAGCAGGCACAGAGAGCUUGCCUUAAAAUUAUUAUUACUUCACUCUGGUGCAGCAGACUUUAUUUUCUUCUUCCUGCUGCUACUGUGCAGAAACACAGACUAUUCUGUCCAGAAGAAACCAGAGAUCAGUGAGCCCAUUGCUGAAAUUUAUGGGGGAAGACACUGCUGUCUGGAGGUGUGAGGUGACUUUCUCUGAGCAAAGCCCUGGGGGCUGGUACCAGCCCUCAGCCUAUGAGCUGUCUGCUGAGUACCCCCAGCCCCCAGGAAUCCUAGACCAGCUGAGGGAUCUGGGCAAGUGGCCUCAUGCUUUCUCUUAUACAUCUUAGCGUCAGAGGAAUGGGUGUGCGUGUAUAUUACUUAUGCUCGUGCACACAUCCUAGCUUAGAUGCCCAGAUAUCUUGCCUCCUUGAAUUUACAAGUCACUUCUCAGUGUAGUUCAGUCAGAAAUAUCUUCUAUUUGCAAAAGUCCUAGCAGGGGCUGGGGGCAUUGGUCUCCAGGAAGCCAGUAUCAUCAUUCUUGCAGAUGAAGUUUUCAAUCUCAUGUUGGGGGUAGGGAGGGAGCUGUCUGGGCCAUUGUCCAGCAUACUCUCAGAUGGGUGUGGUGCCAGCUUUGAUGGUCUUGUCACCCUCUAGAGAUCCUUAGUACAUUUGAAAGAGGAAGUCUACAAUUUCAGUUUGAACUGGGUUCUGCAAAUUAUGCCUGGACUCUGCUCACAUCUUUUUACAUCCUUCACUUCACGUUCCUCAAGACUCGGCGUCUCCAAGCAACCUUUAAUGAUUUCCCUAGUGGGUAUCACUCGAGCUUGAUUACUCCUUUUCUGAAAUGCUUGGGACCCAAAGUGUUUUACAUUUUGGAAUAUCGGCAAAAACAUAAUGAUAUAUGGAUAGGACAUAAGUCUAAAUGUCAUCUAUGUUUCAUAUAUUCAUCAUACAUGUAGUCCAGAGAUAAUUUGAUAUACUAGUUUUAACAAUUUUGUUCAGGGGUUGGGGAUUUAGCUCAGUGGUAGAGAGCUUGCCUAGCAAGCGCAAGGCCCUGGGUUCGGUCCCCAGCUCCGAAAAAAAGAAAAAAAAAACAACAACAAUUUUGUUCAUGAAACAAAGUUUGUGUGAACCGAACCUUAGAAAGUAAAGACUUCACUCUCAGCCGCUCAUGGUGAUUGGCUAUCUGUGGUUGCUUGGGUAUUGCCAUCACUAUUGACUCUGAAUUAUAUAUUACCGAUAACUACUCAUCUUUUCACAUUUAUUCACAAGUAAAUACUUAGUAGUAUAAGAUACGACUGUAGCUAUUUCACCACAUAGAAGCUCAAGUAGUUCUUGACUUUUGAAUAUUUUAAAUAGUGCAUUUGGAGUAGGAAUGUCCAGUUUGUGUUAGAAUGCUAAUUUUGUAAUAGUGGUGAUAUUAAUCCCUGUUGUUCACUUGCUCUCUACCAAUGCUAUGAAGCAGACUAUCUACUUUCUUGGUAUAGUUCAUUGGUAGAGCUCUACACAGUCUGUGCAAGACAAGUUGUCUAACAUCAAACUAUAUUCUAAACUCUCUUAAAAAGAAUAAUAACAGUAACAAAACACUAAGACCCUUUUAUUUUGAGAAGGCCUUUCUCCCUCAGUUGUCCAGGUUGACCUUGAACUGACUUGCCCAAGCAGGUCUUGAACAAUCUGUGUUACUUUGCUGACUAUCUGUGGUUAGAGGUCUGUGCCACCAGGCCAGGCUCAAGGUAAAUAUCAUUGCCAUCAUAAUAUUUAGCAUAGGAGCAGGCUGAGGCUCACAUGGAUUAAUUGGCUCAUGGUUACAUAGCUAGGCGUGUAACCCCCAGGUCGCCUGCACAGGGCAGACACCCACUGAGCUAUGCAAUUUCUAGGCGUUGUCUGAACACUGACAAUUUCUUCUUGUUUCUUCUUUUUAACUGUAGGGGAGAAAUUGUGUCCUUCAUUGCAGAUAUGCCCCUUCUCCAGUUUUACCAGGUACCCUGCCCAGCGCAGGCAAGGCCCUCAAUGAAUAUUUACUCCAGAAAGGGAUUUGGUGAAAUUCAAUGUGUGUUUAGCAGAUCAGAACGUCCUGCAAACUAUUGAGGCUUUCAGGUUUAUGCUUAACUUUCUCUAUGAAGGAAGCUGCCCAAUAUGGAGGGUGAGAGCCGUGUGAUGCUUUCUGUUUGACUUCAUGAAUUAUUUAUGGAAUUAACACUGGAAUCAUGAUUAAUUUGUGGAGGUAAAGAAGUUGCCGCAUGGCUUGGUGCCCAUAUUUUCCUGGCAGGGAUAAAUUACAUUCCCAAGGGCUUCAAGGUGAAGUCUUGGGAUGUUGGUUUCCAAGGGCAACACAUACUUGGACUUUCUUCUUGCUUCUCUUGCUCCCAGUUGAAAAACAAAAAAACCAAGGAAACACAAAUUAUACCUACACCAAUGGCAAAGGCCCUUGUCUCUGAGUAGCAAGCCAAUUGGGAUCCUUUCAAUAUUUAGCUAAUGUGUGUCUGUUAGGUACCCACUGUGUACUGUGCAUUCAAGACCAUUCCCCAGUGGUCUUAAAUCCAAGGAUUCAUUUUCUGUCCCUAUGAGGAGGCAGAAGUUCUUGGUAGAAGGACUCAGCAAUAGAAUAUAGAUCUUUACUGUGUACCAAGUGACCAGUGUCAGAAAUGCAUGUCCUCAAGAGCCAUAGUGGGAACUAUUCCUGAAGACAAUGUUCAUGUACAAGUCUGGUCUAGAGACUGGAAAGGAACAAGUGUUUAAAGGCAAAGACAGGGGCAGGGUGGGGGCAGGGGUGACCCCCCCAAGACCAGGAAUUUAAAAUACAAAAGGUCAAAAGCAGGACCCAGGAAAAUAAAAAGUCUGGUGUUGGGACUGAUCCCGAGAGGAAACCCUGAGGUGACCUCUCAGGAAGAAAAGCGUGGAGAGAAUCUGGUUUUGCAAAGGGCUUGGUCCUGGUCUUAGAGGCUGACACUGGAUGAUGGGGUCUGUGCUGUCUGUGUCUGACUUGAGGUUCAUUAUAAGGGCAGCUCUGUUAGAAACAAGCUCUCUUCUGCUCCAGAUCCACAAGGCUCCAUGGGCUCCCAGCUCCCUGGUGGCUUCCAGAGGAGCAAGAGGCCUAAAUGGCCCAGAGGAAAGCAGGGGAAGCAGGGAGGGGCUGCAGCUGAGCGGACCCUUGAUCCAGCUCCAUCAGCAAGCUUGCUUUCUGAGACCCGCAGGAGAAUGAUAAUCUCUUUCCCAUUUC
Non-coding RNA from Rattus norvegicus (Norway rat), 6513 nucleotides. The record is from RefSeq and is a predicted model, not a curated record. NCBI's taxonomy places the organism in Eukaryota, Metazoa, Chordata, Mammalia, Rodentia, Muridae.